RNAcentral lists this ribosomal RNA (253 nucleotides) under uncultured bacterium. RNAcentral's name for it is "partial 16S ribosomal RNA". It matches the Rfam family "Bacterial small subunit ribosomal RNA", at positions 524 to 776 of the family's 1533-position model. The record is from RNAcentral.
UACAGAGGUCCCAAGCGUUGUUCGGAUUCACUGGGCGUAAAGGGUGCGUAGGUGGUGAGGUAAGUCGGAUGUGAAAUCUCCGAGCUCAACUCGGAAAUGGCAUUGGAAACUACCUUGCUUGAGGGUUGGAGGGGGGACUGGAAUACUUGGUGUAGCAGUGAAAUGCGUAGAUAUCAAGUGGAACACCAGUGGCGAAGGCGAGUCCCUGGACAACUCCUGACACUGAGGCACGAAAGCUAGGGGAGCAAACGGG